This 256-nucleotide ribosomal RNA is filed under the name uncultured bacterium. RNAcentral's name for it is "partial 16S ribosomal RNA". It matches the Rfam family "Bacterial small subunit ribosomal RNA", at positions 524 to 777 of the family's 1533-position model. The record is from RNAcentral.
UACAGAGGGUGCGAGCGUUGUCCGGAAUCACUGGGCGUAAAGGGCGCGUAGGUGGUGGCUUAAGCGUGCGGUGAAAGCUCGGGGCUCAACUCCGAGUCGGCCGUGCGAACUGGGCUCACUGGAGCAUAGUAGAGGCAGGUGGAAUUCCGGGUGUAGCGGUGGAAUGCGUAGAGAUCCGGAAGAACACCGGUGGCGAAGGCGGCCUGCUGGGCUAUGGCUGGCACUGAGGCGCGGACAGCGUGGGGAGCAAACAGGG